Molecule: ribosomal RNA, 499 nt
Filed under: uncultured bacterium
Lineage: Bacteria
Description: partial 16S ribosomal RNA
Rfam family: Bacterial small subunit ribosomal RNA
Source: RNAcentral
AUUGAACGCUGGCGGCAUGCCUUACACAUGCAAGUCGAACGGCAGCACGGGAGCAAUCCUGGUGGCGAGUGGCGAACGGGUGAGUAAAGUAUCGGAACGUGCCCAGUCGUGGGGGAUAACGUAGCGAAAGUUACGCUAAUACCGCAUACGAUCUAUGGAUGAAAGCGGGGGAUCGCAAGACCUCGCGCGAUUGGAGCGGCCGAUAUCAGAUUAGGUAGUUGGUGGGGUAAAGGCUCACCAAGCCGACGAUCUGUAGCUGGUCUGAGAGGACGACCAGCCACACUGGGACUGAGAGACGGCCCAGACUCCUACGGGAGGCAGCAGUGGGGAAUUUUGGACAAUGGGCGAAAGCCUGAUCCAGCCAUGCCGCGUGCAGGAUGAAGGCCUUCGGGUUGUAAACUGCUUUUGUACGGAACGAAAAGACUCUUUCUAAUAAAGAGGGUCAUGACGGUACCGUAAGAAUAAGCACCGGCUAACUACGUGCCAGCAGCCGCCGCAG